GACGAACGCUGGCGGCGUGCCUAAUACAUGCAAGUCGAGCGGACUGAUUAAGAGCUUUCUCUUAUGACGUUAGCGGCGGACGGGUGAGUAACACGUGGGCAACCUGCCCUGUAGAUCGGGAUAACACCGAGAAAUCGGUGCUAAUACCGGGUAAUAUCUGAGAUCACAUGAUCUUAGGUUAAAAGAUGGCUCCCGCUAUCACUACAGGAUGGGCCCGCGGCGCAUUAGCUAGUUGUUAAGGUAAUGGCUUACCAAGGCGACGAUGCGUGGCCGACCUGAGAGGGUGAUCGGCCACACUGGGACUGAGAACCGGCCCAGACUCCUACGGGAGGCAGCAGUAGGGAAUCUUCCGCAAUGGACGAAAGUCGGAAGGCGCAACGCCGCGUGAGUGAUGAAGGGUUUCGGCUCGUAAAGCUCUGUUGUUAGGGAAGAAACAGUAACGAACGAACUAGGUCGGUACCUUGACGGUACCUAACCAGAAAGCCACGGCUAACUACGUG
This 500-nucleotide ribosomal RNA is filed under the name uncultured bacterium. RNAcentral's name for it is "partial 16S ribosomal RNA". It matches the Rfam family "Bacterial small subunit ribosomal RNA", at positions 28 to 507 of the family's 1533-position model. The record is from RNAcentral.